RNAcentral lists this transfer RNA (71 nucleotides) under Natrarchaeobaculum aegyptiacum. RNAcentral's name for it is "Natranaerobius sp. JW/NM-HA 15 tRNA". It matches the Rfam family "tRNA". Rfam says of the family: Transfer RNA (tRNA) molecules are approximately 80 nucleotides in length. Their secondary structure includes four short double-helical elements and three loops (D, anti-codon, and T loops). Lineage: Archaea; Methanobacteriati; Methanobacteriota; Halobacteria; Halobacteriales; Natrialbaceae. The record is from Rfam by way of RNAcentral.
CCAUCGGAAGUCUAGUGGUAGGACAUGAGCUUCCCAAGCUCAUAGCCCGGGUUCGACUCCCGGUCGGCGCA